RNAcentral lists this non-coding RNA (237 nucleotides) under Liquorilactobacillus vini. Its description in RNAcentral is "Lactobacillus vini T-box sequence". It matches the Rfam family "T-box leader". Rfam says of the family: Uncharged tRNA acts as the effector for transcription antitermination of genes in the T-box leader family. T-boxes are found upstream of many aminoacyl-tRNA synthetase genes and some amino acid biosynthetic genes usually in Gram-positive bacteria. The anticodon of a specific tRNA base pairs to a specifier sequence within the T-box motif, and the NCCA acceptor tail of the tRNA base pairs to a conserved bulge in the T-box antiterminator hairpin. Lineage: Bacteria; Bacillati; Bacillota; Bacilli; Lactobacillales; Lactobacillaceae. The record is from RNAcentral.
AAGAACGUGAUGAGAAAGAAGAGUAGUUUUUAACAUUCGGUAGCGAGUCUUGUUCGGUGAAAGAAGGCAGUCUAAGUUAAAAGUGAAAAUCACUUUCGAGCGCUGUGUCGAAGAAUUACUUGGUAGACACGCUGGGUACACCCAUUAUUGUGUUAGCGUAUAAUUUUGUACGUGAAAGGCAAUUAUAGUGAUAUGAUUGCAAAUCAAGGUGGUACAGUGCGGUGAAGCACCCUUGUU